UCUUAAAGCAUUUCUCGGAUAAUUGGCGCUUGGCCGUAUACUCCUCCAAACUAAAAACACAAGAAAAUAACCAUUCACAAAUCUUAAAAGGAAUAAGAAGUUAAAAUGUUUUAUGCGUGCUCAAAAUAAAACUACGCGGGUGGAAUAGGAUUUUGUCCAUCCUAUGGUAUCGCCAAAAAUUAUUUCGAAAAAUGUCAAGAAAGGAUUUAGCAGGCUUUCUUAAAGCGAAAUCCAGACCGAAAGAUUUAAGAAAUAACCCGAACCGUGGUGAUCGAUAUCAAAGGACAGGUUGAGAUUUUUUUUUCUUGAAUAUAUACUUCGAAAAGUCCAUAAGGGGAAUCAAGAUAUUAAUGAAACGAUUUUAAAUGUCACAAACAA
Long non-coding RNA from Gordionus sp. m RMFG-2023, 378 nucleotides. RefSeq lists it as uncharacterized. Lineage: Eukaryota; Metazoa; Nematomorpha; Gordioida; Chordodea; Parachordodidae. The transcript is spliced from 3 exons. The record is from RefSeq and is a predicted model, not a curated record.